RNAcentral lists this ribosomal RNA (397 nucleotides) under uncultured bacterium. RNAcentral's name for it is "partial 16S ribosomal RNA". It matches the Rfam family "Bacterial small subunit ribosomal RNA", at positions 359 to 773 of the family's 1533-position model. The record is from RNAcentral.
GAAUAUUGGACAAUGGGCGAAAGCCUGAUCCAGCCAUGCCGCGUGAGUGAAGAAGGCCCUAGGGUUGUAAAGCUCUUUCACCCGCGAAGAUGAUGACGGUAGCGGGAGAAGAAGCCCCGGCUAACUCCGUGCCAGCAGCCGCGGUAAUACGGAGGGGGCUAGCGUUGUUCGGAUUUACUAGGCGUAAAGGGCGCGUAGGCGGAUGUUCGCGUCAGAGGUGAAAGCCCCGGGCUCAACCUGGGAACUGCCUUUGAAACGGGACAUCUUGAGUUCGGGAGAGGGUAGCGGAAUUCCCAGUGUAGAGGUGAAAUGCGUAGAUAUUGGGAGGAACACCAGUGGCGAAGGCGACUGCCUGGACGAUAACUGACGCUGAGGCACGAAAGCUAGGGGAGCAAAC